GAUGAACGCUGGCGGCGUGCCUAAUACAUGCCAGUCGAGCGAACGGACGAGAAGCUUGCUUCUCUGAUGUUAGCGGCGGACGGGUGAGUAACACGUGGAUAACCUACCUAUAAGACUGGGAUAACUUCGGGAAACCGGAGCUAAUACCGGAUAAUAUUUUGAACCGCAUGGUUCAAAAGUGAAAGACGGUCUUGCUGUCACUUAUAGAUGGAUCCGCGCUGCAUUAGCUAGUUGGUAAGGUAACGGCUUACCAAGGCAACGAUGCAUAACCGACCUGUGAGGGUGAUCGGCGGCACUGGAACGGAGACACGGUCCAGAGGCCUACGGGAGGCAGCAGUAGGGAAUGGUCCGCAGUGGGCGAAAGCAUGACGGAACAACGCCGCGUGAGUGAAGAAGGUCCUCGGAUCGUAAAACUGUGUUAUUAGUGAAGAACAUAUGUGUAAGGAACUGAGCACAUAGUGACGGUAACUAAUAAGAAAGCAACGGCUAACUACGUG
Molecule: ribosomal RNA, 497 nt
Filed under: uncultured bacterium
Lineage: Bacteria
Description: partial 16S ribosomal RNA
Rfam family: Bacterial small subunit ribosomal RNA
Source: RNAcentral